RNAcentral lists this ribosomal RNA (119 nucleotides) under Pteropus alecto (black flying fox). RNAcentral also lists the same sequence under 1 other name. Lineage: Eukaryota; Metazoa; Chordata; Mammalia; Chiroptera; Pteropodidae. The record is from RNAcentral.
GUCUACAGCCAUGCCACUCUGAACAAGCCCAGCUCUAUCUGAUCUUGGAAGCUAAGCAGGGUCGAGCCCGGUUAGUACUUGGAUGGGAGACCACCUAGGAAGACCAGAUGCUAUAGGCG